RNAcentral lists this unclassified non-coding RNA (341 nucleotides) under Hevea brasiliensis (rubber tree). The record is from RNAcentral. Lineage: Eukaryota; Viridiplantae; Streptophyta; Magnoliopsida; Malpighiales; Euphorbiaceae.
AUCAAUAUUUGAUUAAAUUCUUUCUCCCUUUUCACUUCUCAGCCAAUCAUUUGAAAAUUUCUCUACGCUGCACCGCUCCAAUUUCUCUCACAGCUACAGUUUUGCUUAAUCGGCCAAAGAACUUUGACUGCUGUUAUUCGAUUUCCCAUUUUUGCUGCUGCUUCUUCUCGGAAGGACCCACCCUGAUUUCUUCAUCAGAAUUGGAGCAAUUGGAGAUUCUUGUUAUUAUUAAUGGCGGAUCUCAAAGAGCGCCUGCUUCCACCAAAACCUGCGUCUGCUAUAAAUCUAAGAGAUGCUUCUUACCCACCAAAUCCUGCGUCUGCUAUAAAUCUAAGAGAUGC